This 479-nucleotide ribosomal RNA is filed under the name uncultured bacterium. Its description in RNAcentral is "bacterial SSU rRNA". It matches the Rfam family "Bacterial small subunit ribosomal RNA", at positions 29 to 516 of the family's 1533-position model. The record is from RNAcentral.
AAUGAACGUUGGCGGCGUGGAUUAGGCAUGCAAGUCGUGCGGAAAGGUCCUAGCUUGCUAGGACACUCGAGCGGCGAAAGGGAGAGUAACGCGUGGAUACCUGCCUCUGGAUCCGGGAUAGCCUCGAGAAAUCGGGGGUAAUACCGGAUGAUGUCUCCGGACCAAAGGUGUGAUUCCGUCCAGAGAUGGGUCCGCGUCCUAUUAGCUUGUUGGUGGGGUAAUGGCCUACCAAGGCUGAGAUGGGUACCGGUGUGAGAGCAUGGCCCGGCUCACUGGGACUGAGACACUGCCCAGACACCUACGGGUGGCUGCAGUCGAGAAUCUUCGGCAAUGGGCGAAAGCCUGACCGAGCGACGCCGCGUGCGGGAUGAAGGCCUUCGGGUUGUAAACCGCUGUCAGAGGGAGGAAAUGUCAUGUGGCUAUCCUCAUGAUUUGACCGAUCCUCAGAGGAAGUACGGGCUAAGUCCGUGCCAGCCGCC